AAUAGAUACCCGGGUAGUCCACGCCGUAAACGUUGGCGCUAGAUGUGGGGACCAUUCCACGGUUUCCGUGUCGCAGCUAACGCAUUAAGCGCCCCGCCUGGGGAGUACGGCCGCAAGGCUAAAACUCAAAGGAAUUGACGGGGGCCCGCACAAGCGGCGGAGCAUGCGGAUUAAUUCGAUGCAACGCGAAGAACCUUACCAAGGCUUGACAUAUACGAGAACGCUCUAGAAAUAGAGAACUCUUUGGACACUCGUAUACAGGUGGUGCAUGGUUGUCGUCAGCUCGUGUCGUGAGAUGUUGGGUUAAGUCCCGCAACGAGCGCAACCCUCGUUCUAUGUUGCCAGCGGUUCGGCCGGGAACUCAUAGGAGACUGCCGGGGUCAACUCGGAGGAAGGUGGGGAUGACGUCAAAUCAUCAUGCCCCUUAUGUCUUGGGCUUCACGCAUGCUACAAUGGCCGGUACAAAGGGCUGCAAUACCGCAAGGUGGAGCGAAUCCCAAAAAGCCGGUCUCAGUUCGGAUUGAGGUCUGCAGCUCG
Molecule: ribosomal RNA, 537 nt
Filed under: uncultured bacterium
Lineage: Bacteria
Description: bacterial SSU rRNA
Rfam family: Bacterial small subunit ribosomal RNA
Source: RNAcentral